GGCUACGUAGCUCAGUUUGGUUUAGAGCACAGCACUCAUAACGCUGAGGUCAUGGGUUCAACUCCCAUCGUAGCUA
RNAcentral lists this transfer RNA (76 nucleotides) under Enterobacteriaceae endosymbiont of Donacia dentata. Its description in RNAcentral is "tRNA-Met". It matches the Rfam family "tRNA". Rfam says of the family: Transfer RNA (tRNA) molecules are approximately 80 nucleotides in length. Their secondary structure includes four short double-helical elements and three loops (D, anti-codon, and T loops). Lineage: Bacteria; Pseudomonadati; Pseudomonadota; Gammaproteobacteria; Enterobacterales; Enterobacteriaceae. The record is from RNAcentral.